This 215-nucleotide ribosomal RNA is filed under the name uncultured bacterium. RNAcentral describes it as "partial 16S ribosomal RNA". It matches the Rfam family "Bacterial small subunit ribosomal RNA", at positions 118 to 351 of the family's 1533-position model. The record is from RNAcentral.
UGAGAACGUACCCUUUGGUUCGGAACAACCCAGGGAAACUUGGGCUAAUACCGGAUAAGUCCGUAAGGAGAAAGAUUUAUCGCCAAAGGAUCGGCCCGCGUCUGAUUAGCUAGUUGGUAGGUAAUGGCCUACCAAGGCUACGAUCAGUAGCUGGUCUGAGAGGAUGAUCAGCCACAUUGGGACUGAGACACGGCCCAAACUCCUACGGGAGGCAG